CUGGGCAACGAGCGUCCGCGCUCACCCCCACCCUGUGCUUCGACCCGAAACGCGCUCGGCGCCGUGGCCCCCCAUCGGGGGGUCCUGCCGGACUCCAACCCUGAACAACGGUGAGGCCUGAAGUAAAAAGCAAACAGUUA
Molecule: unclassified non-coding RNA, 140 nt
Filed under: uncultured Cylindrosympodium
Lineage: Eukaryota; Fungi; Ascomycota; Dothideomycetes; Venturiales; Venturiaceae
Description: sequence contains ITS1
Source: RNAcentral